Molecule: long non-coding RNA, 1798 nt
Organism: Oncorhynchus kisutch (coho salmon)
Lineage: Eukaryota; Metazoa; Chordata; Actinopteri; Salmoniformes; Salmonidae
Exons: 6
Source: RefSeq, a predicted model, not a curated record
UAAAACCCGGAAAUUAGUUACCAUUCAUAUGGCGAAAAUGAAUGAGGAAAGAAUAGGCUUUUGGGAUAAACGCGAAAAUAAGGUCUGAGGUUAAUACAGGCUUAGGAUAUCUUAUACGUUUUGUUCUACGAGAUAAUAUUAGUCAGUUAACCUUAACCUUUAUUAAUUAUGAAGCAUUUAUGUGCUUUUUCAAAUGACACAAAUGCUUCCAAAUUCACAAAAAAUAACGUUGGCUGAUGAUUAUCUCCUACAAAAAGACGCCAUUAGGAUAGAAAACAAAAACUGUAUCAAUACAUUAGCUCAACAUUGGAAAAAUUGCCCAUUUAUAUUAGUAAAAAAAACAACAGAAAGAAGCACGAGGGUUUCGCAAGAAUUGUCUGCUUUUUCUUGAAUAAGUCUGCUUUUAUGUCAUAUUGUUUCAUUGAACACUAUCUCCCAGAAAGCCUUGCGCCAAGGCAAAGCAGGAAGAUAUUUUUUCGUCUGCAACUUCGGGAAUUUAGCCAGAAGGCCGCUCUGCGCUAGAGAAACCCUGAAAUAAGUUGAAUCUUCUUGGCCUAUUUCAAUUUGGCAAUGAAAUAGCUAUUGAGAGAGUGUGUUGCUCAGGCCCUGGGGAGAGUGGUGUGUGUCAGUGUGUGUUACAGAAACACCAGCAGUGAGUGUAUGUCUGUCUGUAAUCUGCUUCCGCCGGCUGUUUGUGGCAUCGGCUGUGAAGUGAACAGGAAGACAGAGGGUUGAAGAGAGAGAAAAAGAAAAAGAGAAGAGAGAGGUAGCUGCCGACAGCAUGACUGAGUUCUGGGUGUGUUUCAGCUGCUGCAUUGGAGAGCAGCCUCAGCCUAAGAGGCGGCGGAGGAUAGACCGUUCAAUGAUCGGAGAACCAACCAACUUUGUUCACACAACACACGUAGGCUCAGGAGACAUGGGCGUUGGGCUCUCAUCAGUGAACUCAGUUCAGGCCCAGAUGAAAUCUAAAGGAGGUUAUCAAGGAGGGUCUGAGAGCAAUCAGGAAUAAUGAGACAGAUAAGAAGCCUGUGCUAACUACUGCUGUAGAUCUGAAGAGGAGGCGUUGUAAAGACACUCUUACCUGAACCAGACAAAGGACCAAACAAUGAAACCACCCUGGAACGUGUAUAUAAUUCAUUUAUAUUAAAUCACUGCUAUCUGUCUGUCUGCCAUGCUGUUGCACUGUAAUAGUAGAAAACGGAUCACAAUCGUUUGUGUGCGUGUGUGUGCCUGUGUGAACAAAUGUUUUACUCAACUGUUCAGGAGUGUGUGGUCGUGUUUUUAGGCCUUGCCUGUAUUUAUAGUCGGAUUUGUGGAAAAAUUACCUUUCAUGUGGUGGCUGGGCCAUUGUGGAGAUAUGAGGCACAUGAUUAGUAGUAUCUGCUUCAUUAUCAAAUCAUAAACUACAGACUUGAAAUGUCUAUCUGUUUGUGUCCCAAAUGGAACCCUAGUCCUUAUAUAGUGUGCUACUUUUGACCAGAGACACAUGGCCCUGGUCAAAAAUAAUGCACUAUAUGGGGCAUAGGUUGAAAUUGGGGACAGAGACCAUGUUAACUGCUUUAUUCUGUUAAACAUCCCAUGUUCUUUGAGUUGCCUUCAGGAGUAAGUAAAGAAUGCUGUUUUCCAAUAAACUUGAAAUGUGUAGGUAGGGCACACUGGACCAUUUUGUUUCUUGUACACACUUGUUCAGAAGCUUUUAAGCUUUUGUAUUGAUUUCGGCCAAUGUGUUUUUAUACAUGUAGUAUUUUUCUCAUUCAUUAGCUAGAAUCUUAAUAAAAAAAUGUUCUAUGCCAUCUUA